CGCCAAUAUCACUUUUAUGUCUUCCUGCUAUACUAAAGAAAAAACUGACCAUAUGCUAACAAAUCAAUAAAAGAAACAUUAAUAAGUAAAAUAACAGUUAAGGUUUCAAAGCAGGUCUUCAAACUCCCAUUAAAAUUAAGAAAAGGAACGAAGGAAAGUUUUGUUUAGUCGGCGCAACAUCUGUGGUCAUAUGCCGGAGAGAGACAGAAGGGGAAGGAGUUAUAGGAGAAAGGGGUGGACAGGGGUGUAGGGUAUCAGAAAAGCCACCCAAAUUUUUCCACUAUGCUUCAGAAAAGGAGACUAUGUAUAAGCCAUCCAGGAAGACGAGGAAAGGACUAACUGUCUAGUAUCACGUGUAGCACCAAGGGAAGGAAGGAAAUAUAGGGGAGGGAGACAUAGGGACACUUUCAGUCACUCUGUUUCGAUCGUUACCAAGGGUGGUGAUUGCCGAUAUGGUAUUUCCACGUAAAACUGGCCGAUGGGGUAGUGACGGCUGCGGGGUUAGCCUAGACCCGCACCUUGGCUCACACUCUCAACGCCUCUUGCUUCCUCUGCAGCCUACACUACCCCAGUUUCACGUGGAGAACUAUAGCAUUGAUCGACGCAAUUAGUAAUGAUCAAAACAAACAAAGUGACUGUGAAAGCGGCCCAUAAGGUUAUCAGGUUAUCACAUUCAGCUCGUAACAACGGUAGAAACACACGACACACAUCAGGUUCCUCUCCCAUAAGGUGUUUUCUGAGGGCUGAAGAGGAACGCCCACCCUUAUAGCUUGGGAAAGAGAACAUAUGAGUUGUGCAAUGAGGGAAGCUUACGCACAUCAUGACCUAAUGGUAUGUAAGCCCGUCACUGUACGCCUUGUAUGAAUAGCUAGUACCACAUGCAAGCUGAUAUGUAGUAAGGUAAAUAAGGGGGAAAGGGGUGAAAUAAGGAAGGGAAAUAAGGAGUAGAGUUGUACGAAUGUAUGCUGAUAUAAAAA
Molecule: long non-coding RNA, 977 nt
Organism: Eriocheir sinensis (Chinese mitten crab)
Lineage: Eukaryota; Metazoa; Arthropoda; Malacostraca; Decapoda; Varunidae
Exons: 3
Source: RefSeq, a predicted model, not a curated record